CGAAAACACUUUAUUUUUAAUAAGUUAUGCUGCAUAAUCAAAAUAUGAAUAAUCGAACCAGCGAGUGACAAAUACUAUAUAACUAUGUGACAUUUUCUGUGUUUCAAUAUUUAAAUAAAAUAAAUAAUCUAAUUUAAUAACUUCAAAAAUUAAUCAAAAUGUCACAGAAGCUAAAAAAAUUAAAAAAGAAGUCACAUGGCCGAGAAAUAAAAAGAGAAAAGAAAAGAAAGAGAAGAGGGAAGUUGGCGAGAGAAGUGGAGAAGCAGAAAGGGUGGUGAAGGUAGAUCUACUGUUUGAUUGGGAGCAGUAAUGGGGAAGGUGGAUGCAAAUGGAGAUGCCACAAAGCAGCAGCAGAAAAACAAGAGGGUGAAUAGAAACCACGGUUCCACCAAGUUCUUUGUGUUUGUCGAUUAUGUUUUCCUUUUCGCGUUCUUCUGUUUUCUCUGCUACUUUCUCUUCAAAAUUGCCGGUAUUUGAAUUAUCCAGGUUAAUGACAAUUAGCUAUAUCCAAAUCAAGACAGUCCAAGCUCUUAUGACACAGCCACUGUUUUUUUUUUCCAGUUUAGAGUUUGUUUUCUUCUUGGACUCAGAUAUCUAGAAGUCUUUGCGCUGGUGUUAUAUGUCAAAUGCUUCUGUGCCACAUGACUUACCUAUUUACAGUACUUAAUGUCUAUAGCAUAUAUGUAACAUUGAGUAUAGAUUUUUUGGGUGUGCUUGAUCACACAAUUUACAUGUGGAUACAACACUGAAAUUCUGAUGUUCAAUCAACAAAUAUAUCUCCACUGAUUUGAAAUCA
Capsicum annuum is the source of this 796-nucleotide long non-coding RNA. RefSeq lists it as uncharacterized. The transcript has 2 exons. NCBI's taxonomy places the organism in Eukaryota, Viridiplantae, Streptophyta, Magnoliopsida, Solanales, Solanaceae. The record is from RefSeq and is a predicted model, not a curated record.